This 69-nucleotide transfer RNA is filed under the name Porphyrio porphyrio (purple swamphen). RNAcentral's name for it is "tRNA-Asp". It matches the Rfam family "tRNA". From Rfam's summary of the family: Transfer RNA (tRNA) molecules are approximately 80 nucleotides in length. Their secondary structure includes four short double-helical elements and three loops (D, anti-codon, and T loops). The record is from RNAcentral. Lineage: Eukaryota; Metazoa; Chordata; Aves; Gruiformes; Rallidae.
GGGGUGUUAGUAAACCAAUUACAUAGCCUUGUCAAGGCUAAAUCAUAGGUGAGAACCCUAUACACCCCA